CUGUGGUUAAUGGUCAGAGCCCAGGUCUGACAGAACCUGUGGUUAACGGUCAGAGCCCAGGUCUGACAGAACCUGUGGUUAACGGUCAGAGCCCAGGUCUGACAGAACCUGUGGUUAACGGUCAGAGCCCAGGUCUGACAGAACCUGUGGUUAACGGUCAGAGCCCAGGUCUGACAGAACCUGUGGUUAAUGGUCAGAGCCCGGGUCUGACAGAACCUGUGGUUAAUGGUCA
This is a long non-coding RNA of Oncorhynchus keta (chum salmon), 232 nucleotides long. RefSeq lists it as uncharacterized. NCBI's taxonomy places the organism in Eukaryota, Metazoa, Chordata, Actinopteri, Salmoniformes, Salmonidae. The record is from RefSeq and is a predicted model, not a curated record. The transcript is spliced from 3 exons.